CACGCAGGCGGUUUUUUUAAGUCAGAUGUGAAAGGUACCGGCUCAACCGAAGAAGUGCAUCGGAAACUGGGAAACUUGAGUGCAGAAGAGGACAGUGGAACUCCAUGUGUAGCGGUGAAAUGCGUAGAUAUAUGGAAGAACACCAGUGGCGAAGGCGGCUGUCUGGUCUGUAACUGACGCUGAGGCUCGAAAGCGUGGGAGCAAACA
This 207-nucleotide ribosomal RNA is filed under the name uncultured bacterium. RNAcentral describes it as "partial 16S ribosomal RNA". It matches the Rfam family "Bacterial small subunit ribosomal RNA", at positions 568 to 774 of the family's 1533-position model. The record is from RNAcentral.